Molecule: long non-coding RNA, 3392 nt
Filed under: Podarcis lilfordi (Lilford's wall lizard)
Lineage: Eukaryota; Metazoa; Chordata; Lepidosauria; Squamata; Lacertidae
Source: RNAcentral
AUCCGACACUGGGGGUUGUAAUAGCUGUGCUGGCUUACUAAUGUGAUCAAUAAACAAAGACCAUGUGACUUUAAAAAUGGUCCCUCUCUGCCUGUCCAUCUAUAAGUCUGCUGUGCUGGGUAAAGCAAUAAACAGAUUGCUGGGAAAUAAAUACAGAGCUAAAAUGGUACUGGCUAUAAAGGCAGUUCUUUUUUUUUCUUUCUAAAGUGUUAUUCUGCAAAUAGUUUAGCAUCUUAAAAAUAAACAAAACCAUAGGUGAAAAGGCACUUUUGAACAAAUUUUCGAACCUUUUUUUAAAAAUUAAGCACACUGAUAUAAUUGCAUUAUCCAAAAAGAUAAUGGGCAGAGCACUCAAUCUCCUAGCUAGUGACAAUUGGCAGAGGUAGCUGUCCACCUGCAGAGAGCAGCUCUAUUGACACAGAAGCCACUUCUGCUGCAGAGGCCGCUGCAAUGCCUAUGGAAAUCUACCACUGACAUUCUUUCUGCUAGCAAUAGCUAGUCUAAGGCCCUGAAAUAGGGCACUCGGAAGCCAGAGACGGAUGGAACAGAGGUAGCCUUGGAUCCACGGGCUCCAAAGCCCCUCCAGAGAGACUCCAGCGUCAGGUCCCCUAUGCCAGCCUGGAGGUGAUGUGAAUAAGCCUGAGACUCUUAAUUUCAGAGCUGUGGGUUCUAGCCCCACAUUGGGCAAAAUAUUCCUGCAUUGCAGGGGGUUGGACCUUUGUGGACAUCGUAACUCUACAGUUCUCUACGAUUCCAAGUAGCUGAUCCCCAUUGCUUGGGAGGGGGAACUUGGAGAAAUAAGAACCCCCCAAGGAACAACAGGUGAAAUACUCAGGGGCGGGGUGGAGGCACUGCUUACCUGACCUGCCACCACUGUUACUGUGGUGUACCAAGAGGGGUGAGGCAAGAAAGUCAGCACAAUGCAAACACACCACCUGGAGGGUUGGAUUGGCUCCUCCAGCGUAUUUGUACCAUGUCAACCUGCCUCUUCCUGGUAUGCCGCAGUGGUGUGUCACGUUGUCAUGCCAGUAGUUCCUGCAGGAAAGGCAUCAUCCCCUUCAACACCUAGGCCUUAGAAGUGGCAAGAGGUCAUCCUAUCCUACUUAACAUUAUGCUCGGUGCUGAAGUGUUUGUGUUUUGACAGGCUUUCCAACCUGAUGCAUUGCUGCACACAUCUGAGUCGCACCUAUUAAAACAGUCAAAAUUAAUGCUAAGGUGAUCUAAUUUGCUGCAGAUUCCACUUCUGGCCUGUUCUUCAAUAAUACUUAUAAAAAUGGAUUUUUACUUAUUUAUUUUUUGCAAUCUGAGAUAAGACAGGCUGAGCACCAGAAAUGAAUCCAAGAGGACAACCUGGAGCUAAUGCCGAACACUUUAGCCAGUGGUAGCACCCACCACCACUGCAAAACCCUGAAAUGUUCGAAUCCGUUCUUAUUGACUCAAGCAGCAAAAUAGCUAUUGAUUGCAAGGACUCUGUAUUGCAUUUUCAGCACUCCAGUGAGCAUGCCACUGGAAUAAACCCUGUUUGGACCUUAGUUCCAACUUGCUUCCGCAUCUGACCGCCCUGAGCAACUUUAUUUAAUAAUUACUGUGCAAUUAUCCCCAAAGUGACAGCUUGCAGGAUAUAGGUAAGGCAAUUGUUUCACUCUGUUCCUAUACUGCACAAGGGAAUGAACUGCUGACUGGUCUGAACAAUAAUGAACUCCCACAAGAACUAGAGUGGGAAAGAAUAUUAGAAAAUGCAUGUGGCAGGAAAGGAGUUCAAAGCAGAGGGGUGUGGGAGGCACCAGAGAACAAGACAGAAUGUGACCAGAGUCAUACCAUGUAUUUCUGAUAUGGCGGGUGCUUUCUUAAUCAGUGAUGUCUUAAUGGGGGUGGGGUGGAAAUCAUUUCAUUGCAAAGGUUUCAUAAAGCCAACAUGUUGCCUUAUCCUGCAACCUGUCAGGUUCCAUUCUAGAGGUGAUGCCAUCCAAACCUAUUGUUUCUUUAUGUGCUGUCCUCGUACAAUAUGCUUUAAAGCUUCAGCUAAUUCUUAUAAGGAGCUCUUUUUGUAGUUCUGUAUGGUGUGGUGGGUACUCUUGUUUUUUUCCACAGUGGCCAAGCAGGUGCCUCUGCUGGCAAACCUGCAAGCAAGAUCUGAAUGCAAGGGCAGCCCUUUCUCCUUCCACGGCUUAUAGAAUGGAAUUAUAGAGUUGGAAGGGAACAUGUGCAUCAUCUAGUCCACCCUCUGCCAUGCAGGAAUCUUUGGCUCAAGAUGGGGCUUGAACUCGGAAUCCUGAGAUUAAGAGACUCGGUUUUUGUUUUGUUUUUUAAAAAAUGAAAGCAUGGUUUAGAAAUACUUAAAUCAUAAAUAAAUCUGAAGUUUGGGCAAAGGUCAAAAGACAAGGACUCUACAACCCUGGCAUAGCUUUGGCAGGCAGGGACCUCAGCUGAUUUUGGUUGUCAUGAGAAUUAAUGCUGAUUAUUACAGUACUUUUAUGGCCAGGUUCUGGUGGGAUUCUCUGCCUCAAGUGCCAAUAACUCGACCAGCUUUGCGUACUAUGCAGCUUGACUUAGGUUAAAGAGGUUGUUAUUUGCUGUUGUGACUCAGGUGGCAAAAUGUUUUGGGGUGUCCCUGAAAGUGAGGAAUGAGAGAAGCCCAUCUUUCAAAGAACAGACGUGAGUAAAUGCAGAUAUACCUAGCAGACUUUGUUGCAAUUGUGUAUGGUGCUGGUGCCAGGUUGUAAUAGAAAAGUUGUUUGAGGAAGAAUUUAAGAUAGACUAGGCAACGGAUGGCUUAGAAAUCUGGUCUGGCUCUCAAGGACAUCCCAUGCGGCUGCUAUCAAAAUCCCUGAUCCCCAAGGCAUCUCACCUCUUAUUUACCUUAGUAACUUUUCUAAAAAAACUUUUUGUGUAAUAAGGGAAAGGCUUUGAAGACUUCUGGUGCCUAUAGGGUGGCCACUUAUUCAUUGCAAGAAGAGGAUACAGUUUUGCAUAUGCUAAUUUGUAUGUAUAGAUGCACAUUUGAAAAAUUGUUAUUGCAAUUUAAUUACUCAUCUUCUCAUCCUCCACAAUUGGGGGUGGGAGGCUAACUAAGGUAUGGGAUGUGGCUCAGAUGAUCAAGCUGACAAGCAUCAUAAGGGUUAGAGAAAGUCAUCAAAAAGACAAUAAAUGCAUAGAAAAGUGGUGUCUGUUCAUUUCCUACUGCAACCAAAGACUGAAGGAGGUGAUGAAUUCAUGUAACUUAUUGGAGGUGAUAUAUAGACAAGCAUAUUUGAGGUUUAGUUAUUUAUGCAAUUUCAUUAGUUUUCAGUUGUUGUGUUGUUGUUGUUUUUUAAAAAAUACAACUUAAACUGAAUGAUUUGGAUAUUUUAUAUAGGAUAAGGAUGAAAGUUUUUUCACAGAACUUUUUUUUU